GACGAACGCUGGCGGCGUGGAUUAGGCAUGCAAGUCGAACGGUAGGAUACCUUCGGGUAUCUGAGAGUGGCGAACGGGUGAGUAACACGUAGGUGAUCUACCCUCAAGAUUGGGACAACCCAGGGAAACUUGGGCUAAUACCGGAUGAAAGCAGCAGUGAUGUUGUUUGAAAGGUGGCGUAAGCUGCCGUUUGGGGAUGAGCCUGCGCUCUAUUAGUUAGUUGGCGGGGUAAAGGCCCACCAAGGCGAUGAUAGAUAGGCGGCCUUAACGGGUGGUCGCCCACACUGGGAUUGAGAUACGGCCCAGACUCCUACGGGAGGCAGCAGUCGAGAAUAGUCUACAAUGGCCGAAAGGCUGGAUAGUGCGACGCCGCGUGAACGAAGAAGCCUUUCGGGGUGUAAAGUUCUUUUAUAUGUGAGCAGUGCUUUCUAUGUGAACAGCAUGGGGAGAGAGAUAUUAGCAUAUGAAUAAGCAACGGCUAACUCCGUGCCAGCAGCCG
Molecule: ribosomal RNA, 499 nt
Filed under: uncultured bacterium
Lineage: Bacteria
Description: bacterial SSU rRNA
Rfam family: Bacterial small subunit ribosomal RNA
Source: RNAcentral